GCAAGAAAGGCUUCAGUUGGACCGGCUGAAGAACCAGCUGUCUGAUGCCAUUCAGCGAUACGGCACAAUUCAAAAGAAAAUUGCAGAGAAGUCCAAAGCUUUACUUCCUAUGGGCCAAAGACCUAGGAAGGCCAGUCCCAAGAUCCCUUUCUCUGACCUGGCCGAUGAUGAAAAGAUCUUUAAUGGGGGCGAUACCAUGUGGCAGGAACAGAACCAGGAGCACGCCUUGCUGUCGGAAAUCACGGAAGAGGACGUGGAGGCGAUCCGCCAGAGGGAAGAAGCCGUACAGAAG
Molecule: long non-coding RNA, 292 nt
Organism: Gekko japonicus
Lineage: Eukaryota; Metazoa; Chordata; Lepidosauria; Squamata; Gekkonidae
Exons: 3
Source: RefSeq, a predicted model, not a curated record